AGAGAGAGAGAGAGAGAGAGAGAGAGAGAGAGGAAAAGCUUGUGCUUAAUUGUCAAAGAUGACUUUUUUUUGACAAUUUUCUUUGUGGGUUUCAAGAAUGGUUUGUCAAAGUUGUGGCUUUGUUGUCCAUUUGGUUUCAGGCAUGGGAACAAGAUUUGAACCCACUUUCAAUCCUCUACCCACCACCUCUGCCCACAGCAGCAGCAGCAACGCAUUCACAGUUCAAAGAGUGAAUGAGUGGCAGCAUUUCCAGGGCUACUCAACUAAAUUCUAUACGACAUCUGCUGCCAUGAGUACUGGACUUGACAAGUUUCAAGAAGCACUGAACAAGAUGCUGCAGAAAGGAGACGUUGAAGCCAUUAAAAACACAAUGCAGCUCCAUGACAAUGUAUUCAAGAAUCAGGUGAAGGAACUCCAUCGGCUGUACAGUGUCCAGAAGAUGUUGAUGGAAGAGCUGAGGAAAGAAACCAAGCAAAACACAUUAGGGAGUCCAAUGGCAAGUUCAGGAAUUAACCACUUACAGUUCAACAACCGCGAAACUUCAACAACACAGACCGCUGGAGAGGGGCUGAUUUUCAAUCUUGAUCCAAGUAGUAGAGAGAGAAGUGGAAGCUGUUCUGGAGACAACAUGAGAAUGUCAAGAGGCUUUGAUCUUGAAAGGCCAGCAGAAGAGGACAUGUCGACUGGCAUUAGUACCGUUGACGAGGACCAAGCCAGGCCAAGCACUCCGACGAUAGCCAGGAAAAGUAACAAGAUGCAGUGCAUAGAUGGGUGUGAAGAAGACAGUGAUGUUGAGCUAACUCUAAGUAUUGGAGGAGGAAGUCUAAGCAAGAAGAGAUCAAAAUCCUUUCCUCCUAUUACUCAUAAGGAUAGAGAGAUUGAUUCAUCUUUGUCAUUCAAAUCAGAAAGAGGAGAAGAAUGCAGUGACCCAACCACCCCCAUGAGCAGCUCAAGUGCAACAUGUGAUCAGGAAACAAAACGGCCACAUUGGCUCUUUCAAAGUUUAAAGCUCAAGUAGCAGAGAAGAUGACAAGUUUUGUAUCUAUCAUUCCAAAACUUGCAAAAAGAAAAACAGAGAAGAACAGAAAAAAGGUAGGAGCAGAGACUGUUGAUGACGCUCAACAUCAUAACCAAAGCUUGACAAUUUAUAUUAAAAAACUGGUGAUGAUGACCACUGCAAGUCAAGCAAAGAAAGGAACACAGGGAAACAUCCAAUUCCAGGCAAUGAAAGAAACAGUGUCAUAUCAGAGAUGCAAAUCAAGUGGGACAAAGAGAACAAAAAUUGUCUUCUUUUCUGUACCCUUUUAUUUGUGUCUGCAGCUUUACUGCCGGUGGUGAGUCAAUUUAGAAGAAAAGGCAUUUUUGAAGAGGAAGGACUGUGUGUGUUAGUGGAUGGAGAGAUGCCAUAACAAACAGAAAAAGUUACUUGCUUGACCAGAAAGAGAUAAGAGAUGAUGAAAUGAUGGUGUGCUUAAAGUUAAUACGAUCACACUACUGAACGUGCGUGCUGCUCCGUACCGUAACCCAUUUUGUCUUGUGGGAGGAUGUCAUCAUUGUGUCCUUCCCCUCACCGAAACUUUUGACUACUUUUUAGCAUUAGACACAAAAGCUUAGAUCAAAACUAUAUUUCUUCAUUCGAUUCUCUUUACGUCUUUAUUAAACACUAAAACAGACAGAAGAAAUGUACCAAAUCCUAAAGAUUCUUCGCUGUAUUUGCCUUCUC
Cucurbita moschata (crookneck pumpkin) is the source of this 1723-nucleotide RNA transcript. RefSeq lists it as uncharacterized. Lineage: Eukaryota; Viridiplantae; Streptophyta; Magnoliopsida; Cucurbitales; Cucurbitaceae. The transcript has 3 exons. The record is from RefSeq and is a predicted model, not a curated record.